Molecule: non-coding RNA, 117 nt
Organism: Chelonoidis abingdonii (Abingdon island giant tortoise)
Lineage: Eukaryota; Metazoa; Chordata; Testudines; Testudinidae
Source: RefSeq, a predicted model, not a curated record
CAAAGGUGCAAGCUCUGGGUAGUGCUUAUCUCAAGCAGCUCCUGGAAGCAGUGGCAUGUCUCCUCUCCAGAUCCUACAUGGAGGCACGGCCAGGAGCCUCUGAAGCGCCAGAGGAGG